AAUGAGAAUGCAGAUGUUGAAGGUAUACUUGGGGCUAAAAUCCGCAUUUCUUAAUAAUAGCAUCUAUUACCACAGAUUUUAAGUGCCAGGAAGUUAUAACAUUCUAUCUUUUUUUAUUUGUUUUACAUAUAUCAUGUAAUUUCAGUCUCAAAAUUUCUGUCAUGUUAACUAAUCACCUUUUAUUGACCUGAAAAUCAGGUUCUGGUGGAAAUUACCAAAA
RNAcentral lists this unclassified non-coding RNA (220 nucleotides) under Hevea brasiliensis (rubber tree). The record is from RNAcentral. Lineage: Eukaryota; Viridiplantae; Streptophyta; Magnoliopsida; Malpighiales; Euphorbiaceae.